GAGAAAUGCACGAUAUUUCAGAAGUGUAUAGAAUUUAAGUUCGCAUACAUUCAAAACAAAAGGUGAAUCAUUAAUUCAUAACUUUCAUCAAUACGGAUGGUUAUAUAUCCUUUUUUACCUUUUCCAUUUUCCUAAUUUCACUGCCAAAGCAAAUGGGGUUGUGGAGACCCUAGCUGCUAUUAUUAACAUCUGGCACAGCACCUGGAUCACCUCACCAGCAAGGGAAGGCUGCAGAAGUCGUUGCAGUUAUCUACAAAUAAAUUUUAUUUACUUGUACCUAAAUAAUUUCCCAUUCAGAUUCACAGAAAUCUGGAGUUGGGGAUCUUCUGGCAUCAUUUAUGUCAAGACCAGACAUUGAAUUCUUGGUGCUCUCUUCUUGAUUGGGAUAUGAAUCACUACCAGGCCAUAUUGCUAGUUGCUCAUUCUUCCUUGUUAACUUCUUUCUUGACGAAAAAACAUCCUGAAUCUUCUUCUUGUAAGACUUGCUUUUUCCUCCAUUUUGAGGAGUAAAAUGAAGUUCAUCUCUAUUCACCAUAAUACAGGACUCCUCAAGCUUUGCCUUGUCAACUUGUUGAAUGAUUUGCAUUUCUGAAUUAGACACAAAAUCCUCCUCACACGCAAUUUCACUUCUCUGUACUCUCCCAUUUUCACAGGAUUCCUCUAGAGAAACCAACUCAUCAUUCAUACAAACAUCUGCAGCUGCCAAAUGAGAAGUCAACUUAGAAUGCCCAACACAUGUGAUUAAAAACAAUAGGCCAAAACUAUUAGAAAACAGGAAGUAGUCACCAGUUGCUUCUUGUAAUGCGCGGCAUUGAGAGUAAGGUCUCAUAUCCAUUUCUUUACUCAUGCCAGAUUCAAUUAAAUUAACCAUAUCAAAUGAUGAUCCAUCUGUUUUAAUAUCAGGCAUUUGUUCACUUGCAUUUUCAAUCUUAUUUUUACUUUCUUCUAUGGAAUCAUGCCCUGUCACUUCAACAGACCCUAGAUUUGUAAUUUUAUCUUUCUGAUCAGAAGAUGCCUUGUGAUUUUCAUUUGAAAAUUUACGGACAGAAGAUCCUCCAGUCAAAUCUUUAUCCAAAGGAGUGAUGCCUCCUGAUUUCUCACUUGGGGGCACAUACUCCCUUUUUGAGCUUUUAUUGGCCCCAAGAUAUGAUUUAUUAGACAAACAUCCUUCAACAUAUCGUUUUGAGGCUUCUCCAGCACAAUCUCCUAGAUUUUCAUUUGAAGGUUCGCAGAAUGAAGAAGCUCUAAUCAAAUCUUUAUCCAAAGGAGAGAUGGCACCUGAUUUCUCAUAAAGGGACAUAUUCUCCCUCUUACAUCUUUUUUUGGUACCCAUAUAUGAUUUAUUAGACAGACUUCCUUUACCAUAUUGUCCUGGGGCAACUCCAGGAGAAUCCCAUUGAGAUAGUGGGAACAGAUUAUCUACAUGACUAAGCCUGUGGAAAGUAGGAGAAUGGGCUGCAUUGUUAUCAAUGAUCAUUUUUGGAUCCUCAGUCAACUUCUCUAUAUUAUCAAUCUUUACAUGCUCUUCCUUCAUAGCCACUUUUGGCUUCAUAUAGAUCCCAACAUCAGCAUAAAGCUCCAGAGGCAAGUCAGAGACUCCAUCUUUAGCAGCGUCCACAGUAGAUGGAGGAAGCAAAUCUUGCAUUACAUCUGAAUAGAAUUUUUUCACUGUAGAACCAACUGUCUGCACCUGAUUUUCAACAUAUUUAACUGUGUCCUGGUACAUAAUUUCUUCAACCUCCAAGCACAUAGCUUCAAAUUUCUGGUAGACGUUACCAACCCAUGAUAUACCCUUCAGAUCCAUAACGAUCAUAAGUCAACCUCAGAAAAUCAGAUGUUGGACUCCUUCCACUAGGGUUUUAAUAAUGCGGUUAGAAUCCUUAAAGCUUCUACGUAUGUUUAGUGUAACAGCCGAUGGACACCCAGAAGCCCAAAGCCUUUUGAUGAGUCAGAUUAUCAUUAUUAUCUAUAAAUAUAUAUUCAACUCAGUUGAGCUUUUUAAGAGGACCCAAAAAUACCAGGCAAUUUAUGCACAGAGCCAAACG
RNAcentral lists this unclassified non-coding RNA (2045 nucleotides) under Hevea brasiliensis (rubber tree). The record is from RNAcentral. Lineage: Eukaryota; Viridiplantae; Streptophyta; Magnoliopsida; Malpighiales; Euphorbiaceae.